AGAAUCAACGCUGGCGGCGUGCCUAACACAUGCAAGUCGAGCGCGAAAGGGGAGCAAUCCCCGAGUAGAGCGGCGAACGGGUGAGUAACGCGUGGGUAAUCUACCUCCGAGUGGGGAAUAACAGCGGGAAACUGCUGCUAAUACCGCAUGACAUCGUCGAGCCUUCGGGCCUGACGAUCAAAGCCGGGGACCGCAAGGCCUGGCGCUUGGAGAGGAGCCCGCGUCCGAUUAGCUAGUUGGCGGGGUAAUGGCCCACCAAGGCUCCGAUC
This 269-nucleotide ribosomal RNA is filed under the name uncultured soil bacterium. RNAcentral describes it as "partial 16S ribosomal RNA". It matches the Rfam family "Bacterial small subunit ribosomal RNA", at positions 26 to 281 of the family's 1533-position model. The record is from RNAcentral.